Triticum aestivum (bread wheat) is the source of this 125-nucleotide non-coding RNA. The record is from Rfam. Lineage: Eukaryota; Viridiplantae; Streptophyta; Magnoliopsida; Poales; Poaceae.
AUAGUACUCCCUCCGUCCGAAAAUAUUUGUCGUAUAGAUGGAUAAAAAUGGAUAUAUCUAGAACUAUAAUACGUCUAGAUGCAUCCAUUUCUCCAACAAGUAUUUCCGGACGGAGGGAGUACAAU